CUUUAUGAAGGAGUCAUGUCCUUUAUGUCUGUAAAAAUGUAAAAGCAGAUUCUUUCUUAUCUGCUAAUGUCCUUUAUGAAUGAGUCAUGUCCUUUGUGUCUGUAAAAAUGUAAAAGCAGAUUCCUCCUUAUCUGCUUAUCCUCCUCUAUAUAAGGAUGGAGAAGAGUCGGUUGUAAAAGAAGAACUACCUUUGAAAUAAAACCCAGACGAGUUUUAAAAAAUCUAUGGCUUUCUAAAUUCCUCUCAUCUCUUCUUACUUGAAAAUAGGAUUUCUGUGGAAGAAAAUCUCUCAAAAGUUUAAGAGUAUGCUCUGUGCUUGCCAUAAUUAUGGAUCCUGCACAUCAGAAAUUAAACCUGAUAGAAGGUACUAUUAGG
This 375-nucleotide long non-coding RNA is filed under the name Gossypium raimondii (Peruvian cotton). RNAcentral describes it as "long non-coding RNA (GRAI_LNC006904)". The record is from RNAcentral. Lineage: Eukaryota; Viridiplantae; Streptophyta; Magnoliopsida; Malvales; Malvaceae.